UGGGGAAUUUUGCGCAAUGGGCGAAAGCCUGACGCAGUAACGCCGUGUGGAGGAUGAAGGCCUUCGGGUUGUAAACUCCUGUCAGGGGGAACGACGGAGAAUAGGGUGAUAAACCCUUUCCUCCAGACGGUACCUCCAAAGGAAGCCCGGCUAAUUCCGUGCCAGCAGCCGCGGUAAUACGGAAGGGGCAAGCGUUGUUCGGAAUCAUUGGGCGUAAAGGGCGCGUAGGUGGUCUUGUAUGUCUACCGUGAAAGCGUACGGCUCAACUGUAUUUUGUCGGUAGAAACUGCAGGACUUGAGGCUGGGAGGGGCUGGUGGAAUUCCCUGUGUAGCGGUGAAAUGCGUAGAGAUGGGGGAGAACACUCGUGGCGAAGGCGGCCAGCUAGACCAGUUCUGACACUGAGGCGCGACAGCGUGGGGAGCGAAACAGGAUUAGAUACCCUGGUAGUCCACGCUGUAAACGAUGGGCACUAGGUGCCGGCGGUCUUGAUCCCGUCGGUGCCGGCG
This 507-nucleotide ribosomal RNA is filed under the name uncultured bacterium. RNAcentral's name for it is "bacterial SSU rRNA". It matches the Rfam family "Bacterial small subunit ribosomal RNA", at positions 355 to 851 of the family's 1533-position model. The record is from RNAcentral.